Molecule: small RNA, 28 nt
Filed under: Bombyx mori (domestic silkworm)
Lineage: Eukaryota; Metazoa; Arthropoda; Insecta; Lepidoptera; Bombycidae
Description: ovarian small RNA-23215
Source: RNAcentral
UAGUUUCGCUUUGAUCACGUGUCACAGG